This 536-nucleotide long non-coding RNA is filed under the name Citrus x clementina. Its description in RNAcentral is "Citrus clementina (C. clementina) long non-coding RNA (CCLE_LNC000998)". The record is from RNAcentral. Lineage: Eukaryota; Viridiplantae; Streptophyta; Magnoliopsida; Sapindales; Rutaceae.
GGUGCUGCCAAUUUGAAGGUGCAUAUAUUAUUUUGUUUAUUUUUAUCGAAUUAUGCUUAGUGGCUGUAUCAGUUUAUACAAGACCAUAGAACGAAUGCAUAAUUUACUAGAUAAUACAAUAACAUAGCAGAUGAGAUUUAUCUUACGAAGUCUUGAUAAGGAUGUAUGGAGUUAUCACAGCUCUUGUGACCAUCUCAUACUUUCUUUAUCAUUUACAGGUUUGUAUUGUAAGGAAGGCGAAGCCACAAUUCACAAUGUCGUCCGCUGAGGAGAUAGAUGACCACUUGACUAAUAUAACGAAGUAAAACGAGGAGCUGGUAUCAUGGGCCAUCAUAAGUGAUGGAACCGAGCAUGAAAAUAGGAUUUUGCAUGUGUAGGUUGGAUUUAAAUAUUGCAUGGCAUUUGAUGAUGCAAACAGCCAUUGUCGUGCAUUAAAGAAAACAAAACACUUUAAUCUUUUGCUUAAUGUUCAUGGCAAUGCCAAGCAAAAGGAAAGAGCUUUCUGGUAGUAGUGGCUGAUGAAUUUUGUGCCUAUU